CAGAGUCGUCUCUGCUUCUAUCCCUGCAUCGCCUCUGCCAUGCUUCCUUAACAGAGAGUUUUCUUGGUACAUCUGAUUCUGUCUCUCCCCCUUCCCACCCUCUGUCUCUCUGUCUCUCUCUCGGUCUUUGUCUCUGUGUUAGGGUUUAUGCUUUUGUGGGUUUUGUUGAGAUUUUCUAGCCGUCUUUUGUUUGAGUAAUUAGCAGAGAGAGAGAGAGAGAGAGAGAGGGAGGAGUCGUUCUUUGGUUCCGUUCAUGCUCUAGGUUGUUUCAAAUGCCCCGAAAAAUCAGUGAAGGAGUUGGAGGAGAAGAGGAAGAACGAUCAGUCUCGAAGCCCGCUUAAUUUGAGCUAUAGCCGGCACGCCUAAUUCUCAUUUAAGGUAUGUUGUUUGUCCAAUGGUUUUUUUUCAGUACUGAAAGUAUAAUUAAGUUUUAACAUUAGGUGUUGCAAGUCUUAAUCCUGCAGCCUGUCAUGCAAAUGUCCCUCCCAUUUUGCCAAUCUUCCCCGGUGCGUGAGGGACCAAUAAAGCUUGCUUUUUUAGAUGCUUAUAUAUAUAUAUAUAUAUUUCAUUUUUGUCUUAUUAAUUCAUUGUGCCACGAUGUUGAUUGAAAUUUUGUGUUAGCAUUGUGGUGAAAUAGAUUAAUAUUAAUAUUGCCCUCUUCUUUUUUCUUUUUCUUUUUUUAUGGAAAUUCCUACUUCCCUCUAUGUGGUUUAUUGGACCCUGAGUCAGGGACGCUAGAGAAAUGAACUUUGUCUAUGCAGAGAUGCAGCUACUUGAACUUGAAUUAACAGAGGUACAAUUAGACAAUGAUACUGGUUCUUCCUUCAUUUUUUCUUCAUCGUCACCGUCUUUAUUUCUUAAAGGAUCCAAGUCACUGAACCCAAGUCCUGCUUAUGCUUGACUCACAAAAUCCUCAAGAAGAUGGGUACCACGAGUGCUGCUCUGGACCCUCACUUGCAGCUCAACAGCUGCUGCUUCACCCGCCUGGACUCGGUUAAGACCCAAGUAAGCUCCUUCCAAAUCGAUUGCUCCAGGAGGAGAAUAAUGGAACUCAGAUUGAUGGGUUCAAAGAAAUUGGGCAGCUUUGCCUGCUCCGCGGUCGAGGAAGACGAGCAACAGGAAUAGUGUUCCGGUGAUGGCGGUCUUGGUUCUGCCGUGGAAGAUUGGCCCGAUAAGCUGAAAACUUUUUUCUGGGUUGUUGCUUCAAUUUUGAAAUCAUGCCCUUCCUGCAUCUUUGAGCACCUCAGGAUAAUCUUCAAUUUCAUCUGCUUAAAUGGUUAGAUUAGGUGUUACUGUUCUUGAAUUAGUAUGUAUGUAUCAGAAGGAUGUUAUUCUUUUAAACAAGUUCAAUUCCUUUGCCUUCUUUGAUAGUAUUGGAUGAGGACUAUUUCUUCGUUUUCACGCUAUAUCAUUGUUUAAUUAGGCUUGUAUAUUCUUCUGCUGUAUUGAUCCAGUAUCGUGUUCCGGGUUGGUGAACGAAAUUAUGAAGGGUACAAAAUUAACAGAGGUACAAGUUGCAGACAAGCUUCUUGAAUUUCGUUCAAAGAAACAAGCUUUGAUUCUAUAAGUGGUUCUGGUGCAAAUGGAGCAAUCAUACACUACAAACCUGAACCAGGUAGUUGCAGUGCUGUGGAUGCAGAGAAGCUCUUUCUACUGGACGUUUGAGCUCAAUACAUCAAUGGUUCAGUCGGUAUAACUAGAACAGUACAUUUUCGCAAACCAACUCCUGGACAAAAAGAUUGCUUCGCCUGAGUCCUACAGGUGCUGAGUUCCUUUCUUGAACUAUCUCGAUGAUGGAUGACAAGAAAAAAUUGAUAAAUAGCUGUAACAGAGAUAUUCCAUUCAAAUUUAUUGUAUUGAAUGACGUGCAUUUACAGAUCUAUUAAUAGAUUAUAGUUACAGGUCAUUGAAUGUUGUCCUACAGGGUCCACAAAUCAAUUAGCAAAGAAGAAAACAUCCUAGGGAGGAAUAAGGAAAUGGCCCGCAUAAAUGAAAGAAGAGGGCACAUGGGCCUUAGAGAAAGUACAACCUCAAACCUAUUCGAUCUAACAGAGCUUUUCUAGGUCUAUGUUCGUAAACUCUCUAUUCACCUCUCCCUUAUUCAGAAAUUGAUGAUUGUGGUUGGAGUCUUGAUCAAACAGGAAAAUGGAGGUGUACUGGGAAGACUCAACAGAUUAGGUCGAGCUCCCUCUGAGCUUCGAUGGCUUCCUGUUUCGGAUACAUGUAUAUUUCAUUUGUGUUACGGAUGGCCUUGACGAGAGCUGUUGGUGGGUACCGUUAAGUUUCAAGCGGCUUCAGUAAAUUUGAAGCCCAUCGAAGCAAGGAAGAGAGGCUGAGGCAACUGUACUUUCAAAUGCUUCAAUAGGCUUGCGUGCAAGGACUUCAAAUGGAGGAAUUGUUUUUCUUUGGUUUUUAGAGUGAAGAUCACUAUUUUUUUGGUCAAUUUGCUCACUUAAACUUUUAAUUAUAUGGUAUAUUUAUAUGAUUGUCAUAUA
Non-coding RNA from Punica granatum (pomegranate), 2495 nucleotides. NCBI's taxonomy places the organism in Eukaryota, Viridiplantae, Streptophyta, Magnoliopsida, Myrtales, Lythraceae. The record is from RefSeq and is a predicted model, not a curated record.